UACGAAGGGUGCAAACGUUGCUCGGAAUUAUUGGGCGUAAAGCGCACGCAGGCGGUCUCUUAAGUUUGGAGUGACAGUUGGUGGCUUAACUGCCAAAGUGCUUCGAAAACUGAGAGACUUGAGGGCUUCAGAGGGACACGGAAUUCCGGGUGGAGUGGUGAAAUGCGUAGAGAUCCGGAGGAACACCAAAGGCGAAGGCAGUGUCCUGGGGAGUACCUGACGCUCAGGUGCGAAAGCCAGGGGAGCGAACGGG
RNAcentral lists this ribosomal RNA (253 nucleotides) under uncultured bacterium. RNAcentral describes it as "partial 16S ribosomal RNA". It matches the Rfam family "Bacterial small subunit ribosomal RNA", at positions 524 to 776 of the family's 1533-position model. The record is from RNAcentral.